This 628-nucleotide long non-coding RNA is filed under the name Olea europaea (common olive). RNAcentral's name for it is "long non-coding RNA (OEUR_LNC008673)". The record is from RNAcentral. Lineage: Eukaryota; Viridiplantae; Streptophyta; Magnoliopsida; Lamiales; Oleaceae.
AAAAAUAAAAUAAAAAAAAUGUAGAGCCCAGAUGACAAAUUUGCAAUCUUGCACAAUUACAAAGAGACUUGCACUAAGUGGACCGGCGAAAACCAAACAAAAUAAAGGGAAAUUUCUUGAGAAAGAACAAACAACUGGGCCUAUGGGAGAAGCUUCAGCAAACCAAAGGCGUGAGAAGCUUUAGCCAUAAAAGGCCGAAGAUGCCCAUGGAAGAAGCUUCAGCCAUAAAAGCAAAUUGUGGAAUCAAAUCCAUCACAAAUAACCAAUCUGACACCCAAUCUCAACUCAUACAACUUCAAUCUACGCAUUAUAAUUGUUGCAUAACAUUCGCCCGUGGAUGAAGCCAUUUAUUACAAUCCUCAAGCAUGGAUGCAGAGGCGGAUCUACCCACGAAAAGCAGUUUCAAUUUGAGGGCGAUUUCAACUUAUUUCGAUUCCUUUUUUGCUUGGGAAGAUUGGUUUGGAAAGAGAGAUUGUUUCUUGAUUUUGAUAGAUAUUAACUAUUUUGUUGGUAGAAAAAAUGGGUUCACAGUUAAAUCUCUGUAAAGAAUUGGGAAUGAACAUGAGUUCAAUUGAAUGAAGGGGAAAACGUGAGUUCAAUGUCCAAACGUCAAAAAUUAAUGGGUUAG